UGGACAUGACUGAAAAAUGACUCAGCAAUAACCACAAAACGUGUGUGUGUGUGUGUGUGUGUGUGUGUGUGUGUGUGUGUGUGUAUGCAAAGAGAUAGGAGGAGUAUGAGACAGACAGUUCUCUGCCUUCUGUAGAGGGCAGACUCUUAACAACAAGGAAAGCAGAGAGGGACAGAGCCAGGAAAGAGUAGAGUGGCCAUAGCUGGGGAUGAGGGAUGGGGAGGGUGGUGGGAAUGGGGAGGAGAAGUUCAGUCCAGGCUGCCUGCGGCUCUGAAUCACCUCGAUCCCCUGGGGAGCCCAUAGAGGGUCACACCCUUCCCCGUUGCCAAGGUGGCACAGGGUGUAGGAGGGAGGGAAGGCCCCAAGCCAUGGACUUCUUCCUGUCCCCCUGCUUCUUUACCACGACCCAUUUGCGCUUUGGGAUCCACGAAGGAAAUCGAGGGCGUUGCUUUCGGGACCCUCUAAACCCGACUUCUUGGGGCAGUAGAGGCCAAGGGCUGAAGCCCGGGUGGCAACGGCUCUGCUCCCCACCCCACCCCCGGAGGGGGCGGCGCCCUUCGGGAGACUGUGUCCUCAGUCCGGAGGAGCUCUCCUGUGGGAGAGCUGACCCUUAAACUUGGCUCACCAGCCGGCAGCUUUUCGGGAUCUGUCCUUUGGGGGCUGCCUCGGCACCUGCCGCUAGCCUAUUCCGGGGCUACAGAUUUCAGCUCAAAGCCCACAGCCCUUCUUCCUUCCUUCCCUGCCUCCCUUCCCCCCAAGGGAGGAGGAAAACAAUCUCCUAGCCCAACCCUUCCACUCUGGGAGGAUUUGGAAACAGCCCCUCCUGCCAAGGAUUUCGUAUUUUCAGAGAUGCUGAAGAAAUGUUCUAAUUCCAAUGAAUCAGUGUUGACAUUGAGAGACUGACUGCCUUCCGCCAACCUCGGGCGCAGGACCCUGGUGGGUUAGAGGAGCUCGGUUGCCUAGGUUUUGCAAGAGACUAGCCCUCGCUCUCUGGCUGAGCUAUGACCAGCGCCCCCUCCCUCCCUUGCCGGGGAGGACAGCUGCCCUCUUCCUUCAUAGGGAAAGGGGGCUUCAGGCAGCAAGAGACACCCCUUUCCAGCCUUCUUGACUUGUCUCAGAGUGGGAGGAGGCUGCUGGUGAGGCCCUGUGCCUGCCUGGUCGUGGUUGCUGUGGGAUGGAGUGAAGCAAGGCUAGGUGCUUCUCAAGUCCACCCAGCACUGAAUGUUACGUAAUCUGCUCAGUAAAAAGAUUCACUAUGCCCCUGUCCUGUUUCCUUACUAAUGCGUCAUACUGGCCUAGGUGUAGAAUGGGGGGGGGGGGGGGUCGGGUCCCUCUGGAUUUCGUCUGUUCAUCCCUCCCUCUCUUUCAUACACACACUUCCCACCUGGGACCUAGCUUCCUUCCUAGAUCUAACCCCCCUCCCCAUCGGACCUCAGUUUCCUCCUAUAUAAAAUGUUGUUUGCCCUAGACAACUUUUAAGGCCCAGCCUUGAUAUUCUCUGUUCUGAAACCUCUCCCAGUUCUAGCAUUCUCUGUUCCAAGGCCUCCUCCAGCUCAGUCUGUGUUCUAGGUUCUAAGUUCCCUUCAGCUCAGACAGUCUCUGUUCUAAAGUCCCUCCCUAUUCUAACAUUCAGCUGUAAAGUUCCUUCCACCUUUGACAGUCUGGGAUUCUGUGUGAGUGAGGCUUCCCAGGAUUGCUGGAAAGACAGGGAACCUGCCACUUCCUUCCCGGUCACUUCCUGGGUUAAGCAGCCCACGGAAGGGCGGCGUGGGAAUGGAAGAAGGAGCUGUGCCUGGUCUGACUGGGGGCACAGACUUUGAGUCAGGUCACUGAGUGGGGAGGGAAAGGUCGAUCGAGGGAAAAGCCUCGAAUCCAGCAGGCGGUGGUAAACCUGGCUCAGCAGAAGGCUGACCCACUCUCCCCAAAGAGCGCUUCACCCCUGCCUCUUCUCAGUCUCAGAGCACUGCUUUCUCCUCUCUGGGUCUUCUUCCUCCCCAGUAAAAUGAGGGGGUUGGACAGGAUGGCCAACCAUGACUGAGUGGAGAUGUACCCAUAAAGGAAAGGUGGACUCAGAGCACAGAGUGGGGCAGCUUUUUGGACACAAAUGGCCAAUGGAGAAAUUUGUGUGACCUGCCGGUAUUUCUACAUUAUCAAAAAACAACAGGAGUGGGGGCGGGGUGAGAUAUUAAACUAACUGGUCGAUAAGUCCAAAAAUAUCAGGAUUGGAGGGAUGUCAUUUAGCCCAAGCUUACUUGAAAAACUUUUGCCUUGGGGAAGUUUGGGACUUUUUUUUUCAUCCUUCCCUAUAAAAUAUCAGAUUGGAGGUUACUGUGGAAAGUAGCUUUAGGAGUUUUUUAGUUGGAUUAAAAAAACAUUGUUCUGAUUGUACCUGUAUAACCUAUAUCAGAUUGCUUGCCAUCUUGGGGAUGGGGGAAGGGAGGGAGGGAGAAAAAUUUGGAGCUCAAAAUCUUGUAAAAAGUGAAUGCUGAAAACUAUCUUUACAUGUAAUUGGAAAAAAUAAAAUUCUAUUAAAAUAUUCUUCA
Long non-coding RNA from Vombatus ursinus (common wombat), 2543 nucleotides. Lineage: Eukaryota; Metazoa; Chordata; Mammalia; Diprotodontia; Vombatidae. The record is from Ensembl.